This 301-nucleotide ribosomal RNA is filed under the name uncultured bacterium. RNAcentral's name for it is "partial 16S ribosomal RNA". It matches the Rfam family "Bacterial small subunit ribosomal RNA", at positions 509 to 807 of the family's 1533-position model. The record is from RNAcentral.
CAGCCGCCGCGGUAAUACGUAGGGGGCAAGCGUUAUCCGGAAUUACUGGGUGUAAAGGGAGCGUAGACGGUUAAACAAGUCUGAAGUGAAAUGCCGGGGCUCAACCCCGGAGCUGCUUUGGGAACUGUAGAACUGGAGUGUCGGAGGGGUAAGCGGAAUUCCCAGUGUAGCGGUGAAAUGCGUAGAUAUUGGGAGGAACACCGGCGGCGAAGGCGGCUUACUGGACGACAACUGACGUUGAGGCUCGAAGGCGUGGGUAGCAAACAGGAUUAGAUACCCCCGUAGUCCCUGUCUCUUAUAC